AGUGAACGCUGGCGGUAGGCCUAACACAUGCAAGUCGAACGGCAGCACAGUAAGAGCUUGCUCUUACGGGUGGCGAGUGGCGGACGGGUGAGGAAUACAUCGGAAUCUACUUUUUCGGGGGGGAUAACGUAGGGAAACUUACGCUAAUACCGCAUACGACCUACGGGUGAAAGCAGGGGAUCUUCGGACCUUGCGCGAGUGAAUGAGCCGAUGUCGGAUUAGCUAGUUGGCGGGGUAAAGGCCCACCAAGGCGACGAUCCGUAGCUGGUCUGAGAGGAUGAUCAGCCACACUGGAACUGAGACACGGUCCAGACUCCUACGGGAGGCAGCAGUGGGGAAUAUUGGACAAUGGGCGCAAGCCUGAUCCAGCCAUACCGCGUGGGUGAAGAAGGCCUUCGGGUUGUAAAGCCCUUUUGUUGGGAAAGAAAAGCAGCAGGUUAAUACCCCGCUGUUCUGACGGUACCCAAAGAAUAAGCACCGGCUAACUUCGUG
Molecule: ribosomal RNA, 492 nt
Filed under: uncultured bacterium
Lineage: Bacteria
Description: partial 16S ribosomal RNA
Rfam family: Bacterial small subunit ribosomal RNA
Source: RNAcentral